This 355-nucleotide ribosomal RNA is filed under the name uncultured bacterium. RNAcentral's name for it is "bacterial SSU rRNA". It matches the Rfam family "Bacterial small subunit ribosomal RNA", at positions 8 to 353 of the family's 1533-position model. The record is from RNAcentral.
AGAGUUUGAUCAUGGCUCAGGAUGAACGCUAGCUACAGGCUUAACACAUGCAAGUCGAGGGGUCAGCAUUUUAGUUUGCUUGCAACUAAAGAUGGCGACCGGCGCACGGGUGAGUAACACGUAUCCAACCUGCCGAUAACUCGGGGAUAGCCUUUCGAAAGAAAGAUUAAUAUCCGAUAGUAUAUUAAAACCGCAUGGUUUUACUAUUAAAGAAUUUCGGUUAUCGAUGGGGAUACGUUCCAUUAGUUUGUUGGCGGGGUAACGGCCCACCAAGACUACGAUGGAUAGGGGUUCUGAGAGGAAGGUCCCCCACAUUGGAACUGAGACACGGUCCAAACUCCUACGGGAGGCAGCA